Molecule: long non-coding RNA, 3062 nt
Filed under: Chinchilla lanigera (long-tailed chinchilla)
Lineage: Eukaryota; Metazoa; Chordata; Mammalia; Rodentia; Chinchillidae
Description: lncRNA (ENSCLAG00000025407.1)
Source: RNAcentral
UGUAGACGGUGGCCCUGUGCGGGAGCCGGCUCCCACUCGGCCCCUGCAGUGCGAUCCUUGGGGGCUGCUGCUCCUGCGCCGUCAGCCGGCGGAGGGCCGGCGCCCGGGCAGCGCUGAGGUUUCGGCCACCUCUCAGGUGUUCUCAGCUGCGCGGAGGACAGCGGCGAGUGACACGGGUGGGGGGAGGCCGAGUCGGGAGGGGACGACUAGGAGGGGCGCGGGCGGUGGGUGGCUCGCCCGGCGCUGUGUGCGGACUGCCAGCACUCCCAGCGGUGCACUGGGGCAGACCCUGCUCCCCUGGACCUGCCGGGAGCUCACCGCGUUCUUCGCAGUGCUGACAGUACCCCCAAGUUCUGUCUGCUCCCAGAGGCCUUGUGGCGUCACAGAACGGGACACGGUCGGGACGCUGCACCCUGGCUUUGCCUUCCGGAAGAUCACUAGGACUGCUCGCCUGUCUCUAGGCCUGCUUUAGGCUGCCUACAAACCAGCUUGGGUUGCGUGGGGUCUCAGGUUCUGACUUUCUGAGCUUGCUCCCGUGCCGCAAAACUAGCCCAGCUGAAAAAUAGCAUUCAGUGGUGAGCAUACCGUGUGUCCAGGAUGUUAUAAUACACAGCUCUGAAACUGGUUGGAGAAGUAAGUGCCCUAGCAAUUAUUUGAUCACCCUCUUCAGUAGUCAGAACACUGGCCAAAAGAAGAACUUAGACAAGAAAGAUGGGAGGCGAAUGUCUUUCCAGAAGCCUAAAGGGACUAUCGAGUACACUGUCGAAUCAAGAGAUUCUUUGAAUAGCAUAGCCCUGAAAUUUGAUACAACACCCAAUGAACUUGUUCAGUUAAAUAAGUUAUUCUCCCGAUCAGUCGUGACUGGACAGGUUUUGUAUGUUCCCGACCCUGAAUAUGUCUCCAGUGCUGAGAGUUCUCCAUCUCUGAGCCCCGUAAGCCCUCUGUCACCAGCGUCCUCCGAGGCUGAGUUUGAUAAGACCACUAAUCCUGAUGCAGCCCAUCCAAAAGAAGCAACUCCCGUGUCUGCUCUUACUGGUAUUCGACCAGCACGAGUUGUAUCUUCCACAUCUGAAGAAGAAGAAGCAUUUACUGAGAAAUUUCUUAAGAUUAAUUGCAAAUACAUUACCAGUAGCAAGGGCACAGUCAGUGGUGUGCUGCUGGUUACACCAAACAAUAUCAUGUUUGAUCCACAUAAAACUGACCCUUUGGUCCAAGAGAACGGCUGUGAGGAGUACGGCAUCAUGUGUCCAAUGGAGGAGGUGAUGUCCGCCGCCAUGUACAGAGACAUUCUGGACAGCAAAAUAAAGGAGUCUUUACCCAUAGAAAUAGACCUGUUAUCAGGAAGGGACUUCUGCCAUUCAAAGGAUGCAACAGGAAUGAAUACCGAGGAGGUAGACUCAAGAACUCGCGAUGCAGGUAACGACAGUGCCAGCACGGCUCCGAGGAGCACCGAGGAGUCUCUCUCUGAGGAUGUGUUCACGGAGGCAGAGCUCUCUCCCAUCCGAGAGGAGGGAGUCUCUUCGGAUAAGUCAUCUGGGGCGUCCUCAGAAUCCGUACAAACUGUCAGUCAGCCUGGGGUGGUAGGGUUGACAGCCCAGUCAGAGUCUAGUAGUCCUUCUCAUUUAAAAGCCAACACUGGACAUUCUGCCAAAGGAGCUGGGACUGCAUCUCAUGAAACGGAUUUAAGUCAUCUUGAAAUGGCUGCUCAGGAUGGAAAUCAGGGGACAGGUAACCUUCAGGAAGCAUUAGGCCCUACGGAGCCAAGCCCAAGUGUAAAAGGUCGUGCAGACCAGGAUCCUUCUCCUCAUGAGAGUGCCCUACAGCAAGAUGGAGGUGGGAAAGAAACCGUGCCUUGUGGAGAAACAGCAGAAUUUAAACAAAGGCAAACCAUUAACAAAGGCCAGGAAGGAAAGGAACAAAGUCAGGACUCAGAGGUUGAGGAGCUGCGCAAACUCUGGAAAACCCACACCAUGCAGCAAACUAAACAGCACAGGGAAAACAUUCAGCAGGUGUCGCAAAAAGAAAUUCAGCAUAAAAUUGCAUCUGCUGAUGGACAUGUAGAAGGUUCCGCACUUCUAAAGGAAAAGAGGAGGCAUCGAUUGCAUAAAUUCUUAUGUCUCAGAGUUGGGAAACCGAUGAGGAAGACGUUCGUGUCUCAGGCAAGUGCUACAAUGCAGCAGUAUGCACAGAGAGACAAGAAGCAUGAGUACUGGUUCGCCGUGCCGCAGGAAAGGACAGACCACCUGUAUGCCUUCUUCAUUCAGUGGAGCCCAGAAAUCUAUGCAGAAGACACUGGCGAAUGCACCAGAGAACCUGGGUUCAUAGUAGUAAAAAAGAUUGAGGAGUCUGAAGCAAAUGAGGAACCUACUAGUGAAGCAGCAGCCAGAGAAUGGGAGGUAGUGUCAGUGGCUGAGUAUCACCGCAGGAUCGAUGCUCUAAAUACCGAGGAGCUGCGCACUCUCUGCAGACGUCUCCAGAUCACCACCCGGGAAGACAUCAGUUCCAAGCAGGCUGCUCCCGUGAAAGCAGAGCUGGAGUCUGAAUCUUUUCGGCCCAACCUCAGUGACCCCAGCGAGCUCCUGCUGCCAGACCAGAUUGAGAAGCUCACCAAGCAUCUUCCACCAAGAACGAUUGGCUACCCGUGGACGCUGGUCUAUGGGACAGGCAAGCACGGCACCAGCCUGAAGACCCUGUACCGGACCAUGGCAGGUCUGGACACCCCGGUGCUGCUGGUGAUCAAGGAUAGCGACGGCCAGGUCUUUGGUGCAUUAGCAUCGGAGCCAUUCAAAGUGAGUGACGGCUUCUACGGGACCGGAGAGACCUUUGUGUUCACCUUCUGUCCAGAGUUUGAGGUCUUUAAGUGGACCGGAGAUAAUAUGUUUUUUAUCAAAGGAGACAUGGAUUCAUUAGCUUUUGGUGGUGGAGGAGGCGAGUUUGCUCUUUGGCUUGAUGGAGAUCUCUACCACGGAAGAAGCCAUUCUUGUAAAACAUUUGGGAAUCGUACACUUUCUAAAAAGGAAGAUUUCUUUAUCCAAGACAUUGAAAUCUGGGCUUUCGAAUAA